This 737-nucleotide ribosomal RNA is filed under the name Bacillus licheniformis. Its description in RNAcentral is "bacterial SSU rRNA". It matches the Rfam family "Bacterial small subunit ribosomal RNA", at positions 318 to 1045 of the family's 1533-position model. Lineage: Bacteria; Bacillati; Bacillota; Bacilli; Caryophanales; Bacillaceae. The record is from RNAcentral.
ACUGAGACACGNCCCAGACUCCUACGGGAGGCAGCAGUAGGGAAUCUUCCACAAUGGACGAAAGUCUGACGGAGCAACGCCGCGUGAGUGAUGAAGGUUUUCGGAUCGUAAAACUCUGUUGUUAGGGAAGAACAAGUACCGUUCGAAUAGGGCGGUACCUUGACGGUACCUAACCAGAAAGCCACGGCUAACUACGUGCCAGCAGCCGCGGUAAUACGUAGGUGGCAAGCGUUGUCCGGAAUUAUUGGGCGUAAAGCGCGCGCAGGCGGUUUCUUAAGUCUGAUGUGAAAGCCCCCGGCUCAACCGGGGAGGGUCAUUGGAAACUGGGGAACUUGAGUGCAGAAGAGGAGAGUGGAAUUCCACGUGUAGCGGUGAAAUGCGUAGAGAUGUGGAGGAACACCAGUGGCGAAGGCGACUCUCUGGUCUGUAACUGACGCUGAGGCGCGAAAGCGUGGGGAGCGAACAGGAUUAGAUACCCUGGUAGUCCACGCCGUAAACGAUGAGUGCUAAGUGUUAGAGGGUUUCCGCCCUUUAGUGCUGCAGCAAACGCAUUAAGCACUCCGCCUGGGGAGUACGGUCGCAAGACUGAAACUCAAAGGAAUUGACGGGGGCCCGCACAAGCGGUGGAGCAUGUGGUUUAAUUCGAAGCAACGCGAAGAACCUUACCAGGUCUUGACAUCCUCUGACAACCCUAGAGAUAGGGCUUCCCCUUCGGGGGCAGAGUGACAGGUGGUGCA